RNAcentral lists this RNase P RNA (401 nucleotides) under Sodalis ligni. RNAcentral's name for it is "Bacterial RNase P class A". It matches the Rfam family "Bacterial RNase P class A". Rfam says of the family: Ribonuclease P (RNase P) is a ubiquitous endoribonuclease, found in archaea, bacteria and eukarya as well as chloroplasts and mitochondria. Lineage: Bacteria; Pseudomonadati; Pseudomonadota; Gammaproteobacteria; Enterobacterales; Bruguierivoracaceae. The record is from Rfam by way of RNAcentral.
GGAGUUGACCAGACAGUCGCCGCGCAACCGGUUAUUUUCGGAAUACAGCUGUGAAGUACGGCUUUCGGAAAGAACAGUUACGGGGAGGAAAGUCCGGGCUCCAUAGGGCAGGGUGCCAGGUAACGCCUGGGGGGUGCAAACCCACGACAAGUGCAACAGAGAGCAAACCGCCGAUGGCCCGCAUGCGGGAUCAGGUAAGGGUGAAAGGGUGCGGUAAGAGCGCACCGCGCGGCUGGCAACAGUCUGCGGCACGGUAAACUCCACCCGGAGCAAGGCCAAAUAGGGGUUCACAAGGUACGGCCCGUACUGAACCCGGGUAGGCUGCUUGAGCCAGCGCGCGAGCGCUGGCCUAGAUGAAUGACUGUCCACGACAGAACCCGGCUUACCGGUCAUCUCCGACA